This 550-nucleotide small RNA is filed under the name Pongo abelii (Sumatran orangutan). Its description in RNAcentral is "processed transcript". The record is from RNAcentral. Lineage: Eukaryota; Metazoa; Chordata; Mammalia; Primates; Hominidae.
AUUGUCCUCCCCCACCUAAGCCUUUUCCUUGUGGGAGGGGUCGGUUGUGUUGGGAGGGGCCUCAGCGCUGCACUGUGGCCCCCCUGACGUGCUCCCUCUCUGCCUGUGUGCCAGGGACCUCCCAGGUGUGGCUGCCACAGAAGAGACGGGUGUGCCUCUGCUCCUGGUGGACACCGCUGGCUGCGGGCUGUUUGAGCUGGAGGAGGAGGACGAACAGUCGAAAGGGAACCCUGGCGAAGUCCGCCUCGUCAGUUUGCACAUCCAGGCUCUGGUAGACGCUGGUGUUCCAGCCCGUGACAUGGCCGUGGUCUCACCAUACAACCUCCAGGUGGACCUGCUCAGACAGAGCCUCGUGCACAGGCACCCCGAGCUUGAAAUCAAGUCCGUCGAUGGCUUCCAAGGCCGAGAGAAGGAGGCCGUGAUACUGUCCUUCGUCAGGUCCAACAGGAAAGGUGAAGUUGGUUUUCUUGCUGAGGACCGGAGGAUCAACGUGGCUGUCACCCGCGCCCGGCGCCACGUGGCGGUCAUCUGUGACUCCCGUACUGUCAAC